This 240-nucleotide unclassified non-coding RNA is filed under the name soil metagenome. RNAcentral's name for it is "partial contains 5.8S ribosomal RNA, internal transcribed spacer 2, and large subunit ribosomal RNA". The record is from RNAcentral.
AACGCACGAGACCUGCGGACCUGCGGAGGGAUCAUUAUUGAAAGUUUUGGGGGUACUGUUGCUGGUCUUUAACAAGGCAUGUGCACGUACUUCUAAUCUAUUCAUCCACCUGUGCAUUUUUUGUAGGAGUUCUUUCAGGUUGGCUUGCAAGGUCCUUUGGACAUUGCAAUGGCUAGCAUGUGAGGCUUCUAUGUCUUUACAAACCAGUUAAGUAUGUUUAGAAUGUGUUGUAUUGGGACU